Long non-coding RNA from Aethalodelphis obliquidens (Pacific white-sided dolphin), 413 nucleotides. RefSeq lists it as uncharacterized. The record is from RefSeq and is a predicted model, not a curated record. Lineage: Eukaryota; Metazoa; Chordata; Mammalia; Artiodactyla; Delphinidae. The transcript has 5 exons.
ACUGCAGUCUACACCACUGGCUCUCCAGCUGGCAGAUGGCAGAUCAUGGGACUUUUCAGCCUCUAUAAUCAUGUACUUCGUGGUUACUUAUCUACCAGAAUCUAACUGAUGAAGACUCCCUUAUUUACCCUCACUGGAGAAUGAGGAUUAUUCUUGCCUUGAGUUCUUGGACUGCCCCUGAUCUUUCUCCAGAGGCUCUUCAAAGAUGAGGAGACUGUGAUGAUAAGGUUCCUCCUUUCCUGGGACGUAGAAUAUCUUCCAGGCACGUCACUGGCCAUAAACAAGGUAUAACUGACGUUAGCUCACGGUGUUCAGGAUCACCUUCAGCCCAUAAGGGAUAAACCAUCAUCGGUGGAAGGAACAGUAGGAACACCUUCAUAAGUUAGGAAGGAGCAGCUUUUCUGGUAUCCAGG